UCCCUGGUGGCUCAGAAGGUUAAGGAUCUGGCAUUGUCACUGCUUUGGUGCGGGUUCGAUCCCUGUCCUGGGAA
Molecule: transfer RNA, 74 nt
Filed under: Sus scrofa (pig)
Lineage: Eukaryota; Metazoa; Chordata; Mammalia; Artiodactyla; Suidae
Rfam family: tRNA
About the family: Transfer RNA (tRNA) molecules are approximately 80 nucleotides in length. Their secondary structure includes four short double-helical elements and three loops (D, anti-codon, and T loops). Further hydrogen bonds mediate the characteristic L-shaped molecular structure. tRNAs have two regions of fundamental functional importance: the anti-codon, which is responsible for specific mRNA codon recognition, and the 3' end, to which the tRNAs corresponding amino acid is attached (by aminoacyl-tRNA synthetases). tRNAs cope with the degeneracy of the genetic code in two manners: having more than one tRNA (with a specific anti-codon) for a particular amino acid; and 'wobble' base-pairing, i.e. permitting non-standard base-pairing at the 3rd anti-codon position.
Source: Rfam by way of RNAcentral